This 58-nucleotide transfer RNA is filed under the name Plasmopara halstedii. It matches the Rfam family "tRNA", at positions 8 to 63 of the family's 71-position model. Rfam says of the family: Transfer RNA (tRNA) molecules are approximately 80 nucleotides in length. Their secondary structure includes four short double-helical elements and three loops (D, anti-codon, and T loops). The record is from Rfam by way of RNAcentral. Lineage: Eukaryota; Oomycota; Peronosporomycetes; Peronosporales; Peronosporaceae.
UGGCUCAGUUGGUAGAGCGUCAGUCUUAUAAUCUGAAGGUCGUCAGUUUGAUCCUGGC